ACCAGAAAGAUGCACUGAGACUGUUGAACAAGGGACACAAACAAAGUGACACAUACACAACUAAUCACAUCAAAUUAAGAAUAUGUAUGUCUGAACAUUCACCAGCGAUAUGGAAAAUAUAGCCAAGUAUCUAUCCGUUUUUCCCGAGUCACGAUUCAACAGCGGACGUCUUAGUAGAACCAUAACGCAACGACGGGUCGAGAGCAGUUCCCAGAUUCCAUGACAGGACGGUGACGCUGGUACAAAAUAUGCAAAUCCCCACUAAAACUUAUUCAGCUCUUGGACACUUCCGAAUGACUGACUGACUGGUAUAAGAUGACGGUGCUAGACAGAGUCUGCCUUGGUGUAGAUCCGUACGGCGACGGCCAGGCCCAGUAUCGCGAGGGGGACCAAGAACUGGAGGAUCUUGAUGACGAACUCGGGGGUCUUGUCCUGGUUGUAGUGCGGCUGCUUGGGCGGCGUGUACUUGACCUUGGUGGGUAUCGUGGUCGCGUCGAUCUCGCCGACGUAGUACUCGUCCAUCAUCGCCCGGGCGGUUGUGCU
RNAcentral lists this long non-coding RNA (543 nucleotides) under Triticum aestivum (bread wheat). RNAcentral describes it as "long non-coding RNA (TAES_LNC000942)". Lineage: Eukaryota; Viridiplantae; Streptophyta; Magnoliopsida; Poales; Poaceae. The record is from RNAcentral.